This 1350-nucleotide ribosomal RNA is filed under the name metagenome. RNAcentral's name for it is "bacterial LSU rRNA". It matches the Rfam family "Bacterial large subunit ribosomal RNA", at positions 1564 to 2925 of the family's 2925-position model. The record is from RNAcentral.
UGAGUACGAGCUGCUACGGCAGCGAAGUGGGUGAUGUCAAGCUUCCAAGAAAAGCCCUAUACCCGUUAAGGCAUGAUGGCCUGUACCCGAAACCGACACAGGUGGGGUGGUAGAGAAUACCGAGGGGCGCGAGAUAACUCUCUCUGAGGAACUCGCCAAAAUGGCCCCGUAACUUCGGGAGAAGGGGUGCCACCGCAAGGUGGUCGCAGUGAAGAGGCCCAGGCGACUGUUUACCAAAAACACAGGUCUCCGCUAAGUCGCAAGACGAUGUAUGGGGGCUGACGCCUGCCCAGUGCCGGAAGGUUAAGGAAGCUGGUCAGCGUAAGCGAAGCUAGCGACUGAAGCCCCGGUGAACGGCGGCCGUAACUAUAACGGUCCUAAGGUAGCGAAAUUCCUUGUCGGGUAAGUUCCGACCCGCACUAAAGGCGUAACGAUCUGGGCGCUGUCUCGGAGAGAGGCUCGGCGAAAUAGAAUUGUCUGUGAAGAUGCGGACUACGUGCACCCGGACAGAAAGACCCUAUGAAGCUUUACUGUAGCUUGGUAUUGUGCCCGGGCUCUGAAUGCGCAGGAUAGGUGGGAGGCUUUGAUCCAUUGCUUGUGGGUGAUGGUGAGCCAACGGUGAGAUACCACUCUUUCAGAGCUAGGGUUCUAACGGUCACCCGUCAUCCGGGGACCGGACAGUAUCAGGUGGGCAGUUUGACUGGGGCGGUCGCCUCCUAAAAGGUAACGGAGGCGCGCAAAGGUUUGCUCAGGCUGGUUGGAAAUCAGCCGACGAGUGUAAAAGCAGAAGCAAGCUUGACUGUGAGACCUACAAGUCGAACAGGGACGAAAGUCGGCUUUAGUGAUCCGACGGUUCUGAGUGGAAGGGCCGUCGCUCAACGGAUAAAAGUUACUCCAAGGAUAACAGGCUGAUCUCCCCCAAGAGUUCACAUCGACGGGGAGGUUUGGCACCUCGAUGUCGGCUCAUCGCAACCUGGGGCUGAAGUCGGUCCCAAGGGUUGGGCUGUUCGCCCAUUAAAGCGGUACGCGAGCUGGGUUCAGAACGUCGUGAGACAGUUCGGUCCAUAUCCGGUGCAUGCGCAGGAAUAUUGAGAGGAUUUCUCCCUAGUACGAGAGGACCGGGAGGAACGCACCUCUGGUGUGCCAGUUAUCGUGCCAACGGUAAACGCUGGGUAGCCAUGUGCGGAGAGGAUAACCGCUGAAAGCAUCUAAGUGGGAAGCCCACCUCAAGAUGAGUAUUCCCAUGGCGUUAGCCAGUAAGGUCACGGGCAGAACACCCGUUGAUAGGCUCUACGUGGAAGCCGGGUAACCGGUGAAGCGGAGAAGUACUAAUAGACCGAGGGCUUGAGC